AUAAUAAUAAUAAUAAUAAUUUUGAUGCAUUAUUUGUUUUUGUUUAUUAUCAGAUUUUAACUUUUUUUACCUUAAUUCAUUAAGUAAAUUGCAGUGGCAUAGACUGCCAUUAUAACUGCCUGUUUUGAUUGCACAAUCAUAACAGGAUAUAAUCAUGCAUUCUGCAAUGUCGGUGGUCUCCCUCGUUGGAAAGAGGUAAAAUUUGUCAUUUUUACUGUCAAUGUGUGUGUGUGUAAACUACAGACAACAAAAAAACAAAAUAAAGGAAUUUCUACAGCCGUCGUUUUUAGAGGACGUUUCGUCCCUAACAGUACAUCAGGGAGUUGGUUAUUUUUAACGAUACCAGAGGGUUAAACAGAUUAAUCAAGGUGUAGUAGAGGGAAAACAACAAAGCUGCCCCUAGUCUCAAGUGGAAUCCUAGUGUAUUUUCUCAUAUUACUGUCAAGCCUUGCACAUUUUAAGUCUGAUGACAGACCUGAAACAACAAGGAUGCCAAAGUCAGAAGAGUCUGAAGGAUAUGUGAAAAAAAUCUCCUUUUUGGUGUACUCCUUAUACACUACAUAAUAAAACCCCUCAUGCAGAAGUAUAUUUUGUACCAAAGCAACAGCACUGUUAAUUCUAAUGCAGUUGUCACUACAUGAAGUUGUGAUAGUCACACCAUCAAUCAAUAAAUACUUAAACUGUUUUACAGUGUCCAUUAAAUGAGGCACAGGUCCUUCUCUGUGCUGCCCCUUUGCUAAAGUUUUCUGUUUCUCAGUUAUGGUUUCAGCACAGGUGCUGUCCAUUUCUGAGACACGUCGGAUUAUCUGACUCAAAGGACUGUGUGGUUUCCUGACCAUUUUCUUUAAUUUAUAGAGAUAAUUUUCAAAAGGAAAUCCAGAUAUGAGAUCUAAGUGACCAUGAACCUUAACAUCUUCACUGAGGUGGACUAAACCAUGAAUGUUGUACACAACAAACUGAGCACCGUAUAGCUGACUGAAAUGGUCCACAAAUGAGCACAGUAAAGCCCUGGCAAAGUCAUUCAUCACUAAACAUAAUGAUGGGCUAGCUAAAAUGUGAAUGGCAACUGAAAGCAGCAUGAAGUUCUUGUAGACCUCCUCAGCCAAAACACCCUUCAAAACAACUGGACCUGUGUAUAAUAGAAACUGUCUCAGUUCAGUUGCUUUCCACCUCAGUCUCUCUUUAACUGCUCUUGGUUUCCUGGCAAACUCAGCUGGUAUAAAGGCUUUCAAACUGAUCAGUUUUUCCGAUAUGACACUGCACUGACCAGCAGAUAUGCGGCAACAUAGAGGUCCAGCACUUCCCAUCCAUAGAUCUAAAAGCCUGCGUACUACACCAAGACAUACAAAAUGCAUAUAGUCAUAUGGGGAAACAGCUCACCAUGCCAAUAUUCAAAUCAGUAAAAGGUGAGUGCCCCACAUGAUGAUCUUCAUCACUACAGCAUUUGAAAAGCUCGUCAGUCCUAGGGGCAGCAUGCAUAUCUGGGAAAGUCAUACGAUGGUUCAUGUAAAGACCUGACUGAAUACAUUUGUCGCAUCCAGAAUACCCUGUGUGAGACUUAAUGGCUUUAAUGUAAGAUCUAGCUGGAGCAUCACAUAUAACUGAACUCACUUUCA
This 1616-nucleotide long non-coding RNA is filed under the name Sparus aurata (gilthead seabream). Its description in RNAcentral is "lncRNA (ENSSAUG00010003442.1)". Lineage: Eukaryota; Metazoa; Chordata; Actinopteri; Spariformes; Sparidae. The record is from RNAcentral.